Long non-coding RNA from Sitodiplosis mosellana (orange wheat blossom midge), 5688 nucleotides. RefSeq lists it as uncharacterized. NCBI's taxonomy places the organism in Eukaryota, Metazoa, Arthropoda, Insecta, Diptera, Cecidomyiidae. The transcript has 2 exons. The record is from RefSeq and is a predicted model, not a curated record.
ACGCACAAUACAUAUUACCUCUUUUUGUCAUCUUGAGUAUUAUUUAUUUCACCGAUACGAAGUUAGUAAUUAUUAUUAAAUCUGUUUUUUUAAUUCUCUUUUCAGGUAAGAGACAAUUUUUGGUCAGCUGUUGUGAAUUUUGUAUGAGUGUACAAUUUUGCUUUCAGAACAAAAGUGAAGACCUAAAAAAAUGGGACCAAAACAUUUCGUUAGGGGUCAAAAAAUGCCAGCAGGGGUCAGGAUCAACGAGAUCAGACUAUGUCAGAAUUUAUGAUUUAGAGCACAUUUAAAACGUAUCCAAAGAAAAUGUAGACAUUCUACCCUAAGUGAAAAGACUGUUGAAUGAACAUUUAUUUCCCACCUACACGCAAACGUACCAACAAGCCUAAAUGCACAUGCACACCAAGCCUGAUUUUUUAUUUCUUGUAGAGCUUAAUAAACCCGUUUUUUUUCUUUUUGCAUUUGCUGCGCUCUGUUUUAAGUCCCACAAAUGAAAUAUUUUCUUUACCUUAUUUAUAUAUCGUAUGAAAUAUAUUUCAAUGUUCAAUUUGACUAAAGAAAUGUGUUUUCUGUUAAGUUUUGCAAGGAAACCUAAUGCCAAAAUGAGUGUUAGUGAAGAAUGUCAAAUACACAUUGAGAAGUUGGUGAUAUAAGAAAGCUCAUGUUGUGAUUCCGGCCAUAGCUUGAUAUAGAAAAACGUAAGCUCAAACGAAAAUAAAGUACAAUAAAAAUAUGUUGAAAAAGAAACUGGUAGAAAUGCGAUUAAACAAGAGAAACCACAACAAAAGUACCAGUAAUCCCAGAGUUAGAGAAUGUGCACGUGAGCCGCAUAACACACAUUGAAAAAAGUUAUCCACGUUCAAUGUCAAAGUGAAAAAAAUCUAAUUUUACACAGCAAACGUUGAGCCCGAACAAUAUGAUUUUGCAUGUGCACGGUUUCUUUACACAAACGGCCACAUACUGUUGACACAAAAUCGACCAUUCGUCAAAUAAAGAAAGCUAAUAAUCAAAUCGAGAAAAACAAAUUAACAAACAAAUGAUUUCAAAGAAAAAAAUUAUUAAGGCGCCUAAAUUGGUGACCAUUUGUUGCGGAAAAAGAAAACUAUUUUCUUUCCAAUCUUUGAUGGGAUUCAUUUUAACAGAACUUACCUCUUCGGAUAUGCAAUGAGAAGCAAAAAGUGUAAUUGGAGCUCAAACAAUCGAAACAGAUGUCAUGUUGAUUGAUUUAAAUUGAAAUGUCAUAAUCUUUUCCUUGCUGUUGCCCGAAAAAUAUCUUCACGCAGAAUUUGUUUUUAAUUUUCGUUCAUUGUUGCAAGUUUGGUCCAAGUUCGUAGCAGCAAAUAAGUUUGAAAUUUUACACACAUAAAUUUGUUCAUUUCAAGUUGAGUACAACAAAAAACAAAAACAAAACAUUAUGGAAAAACUAACAACAAAGCGUCCAUUAAAUAAAUGACUUGAAAUUACCUUUGUGAACUGUAUUUUUUCAAGAAAUUAACUUUGGGACGCAGACGAAACGGUAUUUUGAGCAUCACAUCGAAGAAUUUAACAACAUUUCGCAAUCUAUAAUGUCGAUUUGUUUUCAGUUUGUUGGAUUGCAUUCACACGGCAAUUAUUAUAAUUAUGGCUCAUCGUGAAAUUGAUUUGCAUAAUUUGAUUAAGAUAUCACAUUGGAAAGCAAACAAAAGAAGUAGCGCUGGCGUUUUGCGCGCCUGAACAAUCAUGAAAUCAUUAGGCCAUAAACAUUUCCACAAAAAGUCAAUUUUAUGAUCGAUUGAACGAUAGCAAAAUUCAUAACAAUGUACAGUACGCCCCCGCAAAUUAGAAAAGAAAUGUCCCGCGACCAUUUCCAAUUUGCGGAGUUUUCUAAUUUCUGAGGUUUUUUCAAUUUCAUCCACAAACGGUGUAUCAAAUGAAAAACUGAUAGGGGGAAUGAUUUGCUUAAUUGAAAACGAUAUAUUGAACACUGUUCAAUCAAGUAUUGUAUGUAAAUACAUGCUUAUAAGCAGUUAUUUUAGUGAUUGUAAAUAUAUAGUAAGUCUGUUAGUUUAUUUUACUGGAUAAACUACUCCUCGGAACAAACCGAAAUAAAUGAUGACCGGCUGUUCUUAUUAUAUCAUACGAUAGUAACCAGAAAACGUUAGCAUUCUAUAUACAAUUUUGUAUAUGCAAAUUCUCUGAUGGACCAAAUCGGUUUCGAUUUGUUAAUGAUUGAUGAUUGACGCAGACAAUAUGGAACAGAUUACUUCGUUACUUAAUUUUUAACUUCAUGGUAAACGUCGAAAAUCCCAGCUGAUCUGCUAAUAUAGUUAUUCAACGAAAUGGAAAAGACUUUCAUUACGUUUUUUCAUUAGAAAUGAAGUAAAUUUCGCUUUGUCUUGAAUGAAAUGAUUCGGAAACCCCAUGAAUUAGAAAUGAACCCCGGAAAUUGGAAAUUUUCCAUACAAAUUUUCAAACCUGAAAUUCAUUUCUAAUUUCUGAGGUUUUCUAAUUUUCGGGUUUCUAAUUUGCGGGAGUCCACUGUAUGUGCUUAAUAGCAAAGAGAUUUAAACGAUGUGAUUUGAUGAAGUUGAGCUUGGCUUAUAUAUGUAUAUAAAUAUAUCGCAUUCAAUCUGAUGAUUGAAUUGAUUCGCAUAAUUUUUUUCUAUACUAUUUUUAUGUAUUUUGCACUAGUAGUUUUCUCCAAAGAGUUAUUAAAAAUAAACCCCAGUAAAACAAAGCAACAAUAGUAUGCAGUCGUGCUGUGAUGGCAUGUCUGAGUUCUUUUUUAAGUAUCACCAAAUAUCCAAAAGAAGAGAGUGGACGAAAAAUGGAACAAACGCUGCUACAUACAGCUAAGACGUUAUCGGUUGGUUAUGCAUAGGCAUUUCUAUUUGCAUUGUAAUUCAUAUCAAUUAUUGCAUGGGCAGUUGAAUAGCAUCGCAUUUACUAUUAUAUGUCACUGUUUCAUAUAUGAUUAAGCUGUCAUAUGACCAAUGGCUGUGUAUUUUUUUCUGCUGAGUCGAAAACUAUUUUAAGAUACAUGCAUACUUUUUAUGUUUCGUUCGGGAGAGAAAACAAUAAUGACAUAAUCAUUUCGAGCUCAGCACUUCGAAAUGAAUUGAAUCAAUUGCAAUACCCCUGGUUGAGAAACACAAUCACGACCAUUUUUACUUUCAAAAAUAUUUACUAAAUGAUGGUCAAGCGGACGCAUUUCGUCAAAAUUGAUGUAUAAUCACAUAAUUGAUCGCAAAUGAUCGCGUACAUUAUUUGGUAGCGGAGACAGUGGCUCAGUCGCAUUUUGAGGAGAGGAAUGCAAGGAAAAAACAUCAAAAUGAAUUAAAUUAAAUCGUAUGUGACGAAUACAGUCGCCGGCGAGCUGCUUCGACAUAUAUUUAUAUAUAUACUUAUAUCACAAAAAUACGGUUCUGUUGCCAAGUACAAAUGACUUCUGUUAGAUGUUUCGCUAUGUACCUCUUUCUCUUUUUCCCAAUCCCAUCGCUCUCCCGUUCGCAUUAUAAAUUCGCGUUCAAUUUCGUUCGGGAGACUGUUUUGCUUAGGCUACGAUAGAAUUCGCUUUUUUGACUAGUCGUCAUUUGUCAUUUUUCGUUCUCUAAAACUUUAUCUCUCUUUCUACACAUAUUUUUCAUUGCAUAAUUUUGACAAAUCCGUAGAACUUAGAAGAUAGCGCUGUCUCCUGUUUCUGUUACUGUGACUUUAAAUUUGUAUGUGACUCGCUCGUUGGUCAAUGAAAAUUGACAAAUGUCGGUUUUUUCCGUAGAAUAAAAAAACAUGCAUCAAUUGAAGCACACAAAUGAAAAUGAUUCGUUUACUGUGUUUGUGUGUAUUUAGUAGUCUAUAUGUUAGCUGUCAAAAUGCGCAACUACGGAACGCUGCCACCAUGAUAUUCAUCAAAUCAUAAACGGCAAAUUACUACACAUAUCGCUUUCGCCGCAUAUUCGUCUACGUUUCUUGGCUGUUCAUUUUUACGUGAAUCAAAAUGUACAAAUUCAACCGAUUCGACAACUUCGAUUUCUUUCGGUUCUGAGCGCUAAUCUGAAAGUUUGUUUUGCUUUUGUUCAUGCGCUCUUUUGCUUGAUUGCUUGCGUUCGUACAUGCCUUUGUUCGUUUUCGCUUGCCUUAAAUGCCAAUGCUAAAAAAAUCGAAGAUAUCGUACGUUUUGAGUCAUAGCAUUUUUAGGUAACGAUCAUUUCGUUGUUGCCAUUCAUUUCAUAACACACGCUAUCGUUUCAAGCGCUCAGCAAAACUCUGCAGAAUUGACAUAAAAUUUGCAUGCCACUCUCUAAUUUAUACAUAUUAAAUAGCUAAAAUCAGUUAAUUUUGGGGUUUCAGCAGUUUCAUUGUGUGUUGCAACGUAAUAUUUCGCCAUAGAAAUGAUUCUGUCUACUUAUUUAAUGAAAACCAUAAUCAUUGUCACCGGUUCAGCGCGAACAAAUUCCAACAUAUUUAUAUAUACGCCCUUUCGCAAAACGACUCACUCAUUUCCAAAAUUAUCUUCUUUUUUUGGUUUUGUUCAGCUGUGAGAUUUUGGACUUUGGCCUUGGAUUUCUGAAUUUGGGAUUGGGAUUGGGAUUAGAGAUUCCCUCCAAGAAAAAAAAUACAAAAGUCCAUAUAAUACAGCAGAAUUUUAGUCGAAUUUUCCUCCGUUCCAGACACUCGGAUUUUACAAUUUUCAUAUUUUACGCGAACUAGCAACAUUGAAAAAUUUAGAAAAAAACGCUUAGAUUAAGAUGAAUAUUCAAAUCUUGGCAAAUUUGCCGAAAUGAAUUCGGGUAGGGCGAUUUCAAUUGUAGAUUUUAUGUACUUUAAUGUAGUGUUUUUACUUUUUUUAUGUAGGAACAAUUUUUUUGAGUAAUCGGCUAUCGAAAAACUGCUAUAAAAUGGGACAACUCAAAUCUUGAAUUUUUUUUCGAAUGAAGAAUGGUUCCAAAAAAUUGUAGAUAAAUUGUAGAAUUCAAAUCAAUUGACUGUUUUCAAAUAUGUCUGCCCGUUCGUUCGAUAUCGGGACGAGUCUUGAAAAUUGGUCCAAAAUCGGUAAUACUCAAAUCUUGGCCCCAAAUCGAUCAUUCCACAAACUAAAUCUAUUUUCUAUUGUUUCUAGGUCCAUAAAAUUGUAAAAAAAAUGUAGAAUUCAAAUCAAUCGUCUGAUUCUUGAUGUUUUCAACAACUUAUUUGACAACAGCAGUGUUUUAUUUUUGUAGGGAGAAAAAAUGCUCCAAAACUGGUCCAAACUGUUUUAUUAAUUGUAGUAACCCAGAAUUAAUUUUAGUGACCCAAAAAUAAUUGUAGAAGCAACUACAGUUAUUGUAGUGGUCGAAAAUUAAUUAACAAUUACAAUAACUGUGGUUGCUUCUACAAUUAUUUUCGGGCCACUACAAUUAAUUUUCGACCACUACAACAACUGUAGGUGCUUCUACAAUUAUUUUCGGGCCACUACAAUUAAUUCUUGGUUACUUUAAUUAUUAAAACACGUUUUAUAGCAGUUUAUAGCAGUUUUAUUCCCAUAUUAAAUAUUAAACUCCCCUGGAGCCAAAUAAGUUGUUGAAAACAUCAAGGAUCCGAUGACUGAUUUGAAUUCUACAUUUUUUCUACAAUUUUAUGAAACCUAGCAUCAAAAGAGGAAGAUUCAGUUUGUGGAAAUUUAAAUUUGUGGCCAAGAUUUGAGUAUUACCGAUUUUGGACCAAUUUUCA